GACGAACGCUGGCGGCGUGCCUAAUACAUGCAAGUAGAACGCUGAAGGAGGAGCUUGCUUCUCUGGAUGAGUUGCGAACGGGUGAGUAACGCGUAGGUAACCUGCCUGGUAGCGGGGGAUAACUAUUGGAAACGUUAGCUAAUACCGCAUAAUAGUAGAUGUUGCAUGACAUUUGCUUAAAAGGUGCAAUUGCAUCACUACCAGAUGGACCUGCGUUGUAUUAGCUAGUUGGUGGGGUAACGGCUCACCAAGGCGACGAUACAUAGCCGACCUGAGAGGGUGAUCGGCCACACUGGGACUGAGACACGGCCCAGACUCCUACGGGAGGCAGCAGUAGGGAAUCUUCGGCAAUGGACGGAAGUCUGACCGAGCAACGCCGCGUGAGUGAAGAAGGUUUUCGGAUCGUAAAGCUCUGUUGUAAGAGAAGAACGAGUGUGAGAGUGGAAAGUUCACACUGUGACGGUAUCUUACCAGAAAGGGACGGCUAACUACGUG
This 495-nucleotide ribosomal RNA is filed under the name uncultured bacterium. Its description in RNAcentral is "partial 16S ribosomal RNA". It matches the Rfam family "Bacterial small subunit ribosomal RNA", at positions 28 to 507 of the family's 1533-position model. The record is from RNAcentral.